UACGUAGGGGGCAAGCGUUGUCCGGAAUCAUUGGGCGUAAAGGGCGCGUAGGCGGGCAUACAAGUCUGAUGUGAAAGUGCGGUGCUUAACGCCGUAAAGCAUUGGAAACUGUGUGUCUUGAGGACAGGAGAGGAAAGUGGAAUUCCACGUGUAGCGGUGAAAUGCGUAGAGAUGUGGAGGAACACCAGUGGCGAAGGCGACUUUCUGGACUGUAACUGACGCUGAGGCGCGAAAGCGUGGGGAGCGAACAGG
Molecule: ribosomal RNA, 252 nt
Filed under: uncultured bacterium
Lineage: Bacteria
Description: partial 16S ribosomal RNA
Rfam family: Bacterial small subunit ribosomal RNA
Source: RNAcentral